RNAcentral lists this ribosomal RNA (636 nucleotides) under uncultured bacterium. RNAcentral describes it as "bacterial SSU rRNA". It matches the Rfam family "Bacterial small subunit ribosomal RNA", at positions 607 to 1244 of the family's 1533-position model. The record is from RNAcentral.
GCUCAACCGAGGAAGUGCUUCGAAAACUGGUAAACUUGAGUGCAGAAGAGGAAAGUGGAACUCCAUGUGUAGCGGUGGAAUGCGUAGGUAUAUGGAAGAACACCAGUGGCGAAGGCGGCUUUCUGGUCUGUAACUGACGCUGAGAUUCGAAAGCAUGGGUAGCAAACAGGAUUAGAUACCCUGGUAGUCCAUGCCGUAAACGAUGAGUGCUAAGUGUUGGAGGGUUUCCGCCCUUCAGUGCUGCAGCUAACGCAUUAAGCACUCCGCCUGGGGAGUACGACCGCAAGGUUGAAACUCAAAGGAAUUGACGGGGGCCCGCACAAGCGGUGGAGCAUGUGGUUUAAUUCGAAGCAACGCGAAGAACCUUACCAGGUCUUGACAUACCAUGAAAAGCUUAGAGAUAAGUCUUUCCCUUCGGGGACAUGGAUACAGGUGGUGCAUGGUUGUCGUCAGCUCGUGUCGUGAGAUGUUGGGUUAAGUCCCGCAACGAGCGCAACCCUUAUUAUCAGUUGCCAGCAUUCAGUUGGGCACUCUGGUGAGACUGCCGGUGACAAACCGGAGGAAGGUGGGGACGACGUCAAAUCAUCAUGCCCCUUAUGACCUGGCUACACACGUGCUACAAUGGUCGGUACAACG